RNAcentral lists this ribosomal RNA (1820 nucleotides) under Marteilia refringens. Its description in RNAcentral is "partial large subunit ribosomal RNA". It matches the Rfam family "Eukaryotic large subunit ribosomal RNA", at positions 689 to 3342 of the family's 3401-position model. Lineage: Eukaryota; Endomyxa; Ascetosporea; Paramyxida; Marteiliidae. The record is from RNAcentral.
AGGCGCGGGUCCUCGAAAGGCCCACGCCGAAGGGAAGCCAAAUUUACGCGAGUAGGGUCAUGGCCUUCACUCAGCGGCUUCGCUGCAACUCGUAGUUGUAGUGUGACGAGUUCGAUCCGUCACACCCGAUAGGGGGUGAACUAUGCUCGAUCAGAUCGAAGCCUGGCUAACGCCCGGUGGAGGAUCGUAGCGGUUCUGAUAUGCAAUUCGAUCGCGUGAGUUGAGCAUAGGGGCGAAAGACCAAUCGAACCCCCUGGUAGCUGGUUCCUUCCGAAUGGUCUCUCAGGACUGCUGACGUACGCAAAAUCGGACUCGGUCGUCGUAGAGCAACGAAUCGGGUUACCGGGACGCAACCGUCGCCGCACCCUUCUCGAACUGCAAAGACGAUCGGCUGCGGGCCUCGUUCACUUCGAGGCUCGUCACGGACCGGAAGACGUCAAGUCGGCGCUGGCCGGUAAGCGGCUAGCGUUAUGCGGGAUCAACCGCCAGCCGGUGUGAGGUGCCAGGAAGCAGGCAUCAUCCACGGAGUGUGUAAAAACUCACCGAUCGAAUCGUGCGGCCUCGAAAAUUGAUGGCGCUUUUAUCGGUCGACCGACCGCCGGCCGCCGAGGACGACGUCUAGCUGCACUCCGCAGCAAAAGGUGCACUGUCCUCGGCGGGUAGGAAGGCGACGCGAUGAGCCUUGAAGCUCGUCCUCGAGGACGGGUGGAGCCGUCGCGUGUGCUUAUCAUGGUUGCAGUAGCUUGAACUUCGGUCGAACCCGGAGGGCCGUAGUGGAGAAGGUUUCCUGUCGAUCGGCGAACGAGACAGGGUAAGUCGCUCCCGAGCAGACGACGAAGGUCGUUAGACAGUGCCCGACAACGGGCGAGCUGCGAAAGGGAAGCCGGCGAAAAUUCCGGCACCGCGUCAAGCCGUGUUCGACGUCUCGUGGAACGUUCGCUGCCGCAAGGUUGGCGUGCGUGCCGGGCGUCGAACGUACCGACGGCAACGUGACUGGUUCGAAGACGCUCAGCACGGCAUCGGCAUCGGUUCUCUUCCGAUGUUAAGGUGACGACGCGACGGAGUCGGUUCGCCCGGAGAUGUCGCGCGCGUCGGCGAAAAGGGUGGCAAGAACUGCGACCUUCGGUAGCCGUGCUGGGCCCGUGAAAAUUCGAACGAGCGGAUUACGAGCUUGACGCGAGCGUACCCAGAACCGCAUCAGGUCUCCGAGGUGAGAAGGCGCCACAGCACAGCGCCGGGGCUCGACAGAGCGGCCUAGCGAUCUCGAAACGGCGCCCGGUCUCGGUCGUUCGAGUGACGGAAAAGUUACCACAGGGAUAACUGGCUUGUGGCAGCCUAGUGGCCUAAAUGACGCUGCUUUUUGAUCCUUCGAUGUCGGCUCUUCCUAUCCAGGCAGUGCAAAAGUUGCCAAAGGUAAGACUGUUCGUCUGCUAACAGGGAACGUGAGCUGGGUUUAGACCGUCGUGAGACAGGUUAGUUUUAUCCUACUGUGAGUGGUCGUCCCGAUGGUAGGAUCGUUUAGUACGACAGGAACGACGAUUCAUUGCCUAUCGCAAUGGAGUCGGUCGAGAGACCGAUGCUCCGAAGCGACGCAAUUCGGAUAAGGACUGAUGGCCUCUAAAGUUCGAAGCCGUGCCAAGUGAGCGGACGACAGUGCGGGUAGACUGCUGCGACGUGAGUUUUCGUUUUGCCAGCCUCGCCGCCGUGCGAAAAAGGCCUCCUCUUUGGGGAGCAGCCUAGGGCAACAGGUGCCGCGUGUACCGACGAUGCUCCGUCGAAAGAUCACCAGUAAACGACUGGGGAGUCUCGGUACUGUAAGG